Molecule: ribosomal RNA, 252 nt
Filed under: uncultured bacterium
Lineage: Bacteria
Description: partial 16S ribosomal RNA
Rfam family: Bacterial small subunit ribosomal RNA
Source: RNAcentral
UACGUAGGUGGCAAGCGUUGUCCGGAAUUAUUGGGCGUAAAGCGCGCGCAGGCGGUUAUGUAAGUCUGGUGUUAAAGACCGGGGCUCAACCUCGGUUCGCAUUGGAAACUGUGUAACUUGAGUGCAGAAGAGGAAAGUGGUAUUCCACGUGUAGCGGUGAAACGAGUAGAUAUGUGGAGGAACACCAUUGGCGAAGGCGACUUUCUGGUCUGUAACUGACGCUGAGGCGCGAAAGCGUGGGGAGCAAACAGG